RNAcentral lists this ribosomal RNA (468 nucleotides) under uncultured bacterium. RNAcentral describes it as "partial 16S ribosomal RNA". It matches the Rfam family "Bacterial small subunit ribosomal RNA", at positions 28 to 507 of the family's 1533-position model. The record is from RNAcentral.
GACGAACGCUGGCGGCGUGCUUAACACAUGCAAGUCGAACGGAAAGGCCCUGCUUUUGUGGGGUGCUCGAGUGGCGAACGGGUGAGUAACACGUGAGUAACCUGCCCUUGACUUUGGGAUAACUUCAGGAAACUGGGGCUAAUACCGGAUAGGAGCUCCUGCUGCAUGGUGGGGGUUGGAAAGUUUCGGCGGUUGGGGAUGGACUCGCGGCUUAUCAGCUUGUUGGUGGGGUAGUGGCUUACCAAGGCUUUGACGGGUAGCCGGCCUGAGAGGGUGACCGGGCGCCGGGGGACGGAGAGAGGGCGCAGGAGCGUAUGGGAGGCAGCGGGGGGGGGUGGGGCGCAGGGGGCGGGAGUGUGAUGCGGCAGCGCCGGGUGCGGGAGGAGGGGCGUGGGGGGGAAAAAAGCUGCCGCCGGUAACGAAGCGGGAGUGACGGUAAUGGGUAAAGAAGCAACGGCGAACUACGUG